Hibiscus syriacus is the source of this 454-nucleotide long non-coding RNA. RefSeq lists it as uncharacterized. The record is from RefSeq and is a predicted model, not a curated record. The transcript has 2 exons. NCBI's taxonomy places the organism in Eukaryota, Viridiplantae, Streptophyta, Magnoliopsida, Malvales, Malvaceae.
GGAGUGACUGUGGUACAGAUAAGUGCUGCGGCAAUGGAGUAUUCCUCUUUCAUUUCAUCAAAUCAAUCUCUCCAAAAUGUUUACAUUUUCUGUUGUUGAAGCAUUAAAUAAGCAACGCCGAGUGAAGGCUGAGAUAAAUGCUUCCAAGCAUGAUUUGCCCCAAGAUUUCAUCGACAAACAAAGAGCAUAUUUUGCAGAGGUUGAUGCAUUUGAACUGGAAGAGGAGGUCGAAUCAGGUAAUGAGUUGAAGUAGAUGAAAAAAAUGUAUAUAAAUGAAUGAUUUAGGAUAAUGCAAAUUAAGAUGAUCAAACACUGUAUAACUCUGUGUCCAUAGUUACCAAAAUAACCAUCUCACCUUAGCCAUAUCAUCACCAUGAUAGUCUUGCUUUCCACUAGUUUUGUAUUGUAUACGACAUUCCAUGGUCCUAUAUUUAGCAAAAGGGUUUUUGAUUCC